This is a long non-coding RNA of Hemicordylus capensis (graceful crag lizard), 529 nucleotides long. RefSeq lists it as uncharacterized. The transcript is spliced from 3 exons. Lineage: Eukaryota; Metazoa; Chordata; Lepidosauria; Squamata; Cordylidae. The record is from RefSeq and is a predicted model, not a curated record.
AGCCUAUAAUGGCUGCCUUCCUAUGAGCUCUCAUGACAACCAGCCUGCAGAAACUCAAGACAUUGAACAGACCAAGGCUUCCUUAGGUGCAGCAAGCUUCCUCCAUCAUGAGCUUCCGUGCUGUGCCCUGGGACUUGGAUUCCUCGGCAGGGGUUCCCUGGCAAACAAAUCUGAAAAGGAUGUUUAAAGGCAGGGAGUUUGGAGAGCAUUGAGUUGUCAUGAACAAAGGUGAUUAGAGAAGAAAUCUCCCCCACCUGGAAACAACAUCAAGGCCUAGUUUUUGAAGAAUUUUGACACAAUCAAAUUUAUGAAGGACUUUAUGCCAGAGUACUGUCAUGUCUUCUGCAUUAUUUUUAACUAAAGAGCUUGCUUCUAAUUUAACCACUACCUUCUCUUUGCAGUCAUUCAAAACGUUUAUCAAGGUUUCUAAAAUACAGUCAUAUUAGAGGGCAAGAGUUUAUGUGACAUCUUCUCUGCAGGACCAUCUUGUUUGUGACAGGUUUUUGAAGAUAAUCUGUAAUGUGCAUUA